Molecule: non-coding RNA, 29 nt
Filed under: Rattus norvegicus (Norway rat)
Lineage: Eukaryota; Metazoa; Chordata; Mammalia; Rodentia; Muridae
Source: RNAcentral
UGACCUUCGCUGCCGUUGGGAUAUCUAAU